CCUUUUUUAAUGUUUAACAAUGUUGCUUCUUUCUCUUUUAAUUAUCUCUUGGAUACUGGCCAAGGAACAUUAUCUGUCUAGAAAGGAUGGAUGUCUGUGAAUGGAGUUAUGAGUCUGUUCAUGAGUUUCCGGGCCUGAUGUAUGCUGGCAUGAUGACUAUUUGCUAGAGAUGGUUGGACUUUUAAUGAGGAAUUUGGUUGAGGUGUGGGUGGGGUCAUCAAGUACUCUGUAGUUGGCGCUGAAUUUUGUGGUUUGUAAUUGAUGGAUUGCUUGUUGACUAUUCUGUGUGUUUUACUCUUGGGAUUUGGUGUUUAUGUUUUUGAGGGAAUAGUGAGAGGUUUGAUAUGGCUCAUGGAUGAUGAUUGGUGUAUGGUUGUGCUGUGCUUUGAUAUAC
RNAcentral lists this long non-coding RNA (394 nucleotides) under Gossypium raimondii (Peruvian cotton). RNAcentral describes it as "long non-coding RNA (GRAI_LNC004467)". The record is from RNAcentral. Lineage: Eukaryota; Viridiplantae; Streptophyta; Magnoliopsida; Malvales; Malvaceae.